CCUACGGGGUGCAGCAGUGAGGAAUAUUGGUCAAUGGACGAGAGUCUGAACCAGCCAAGUAGCGUGAAGGAUGACUGCCCUAUGGGUUGUAAACUUCUUUUAUAUGGGAAUAAAACGUUCCACGUGUGGGAUUUUGUAUGUACCAUAUGAAUAAGGAUCGGCUAACUCCGUGCCAGCAGCCGCGGUAAUACGGAGGAUCCGAGCGUUAUCCGGAUUUAUUGGGUUUAAAGGGAGCGUAGGUGGAUUGUUAAGUCAGUUGUGAAAGUUUGCGGCUCAACCGUAAAAUUGCAGUUGAAACUGGCAGUCUUGAGUACAGUAGAGGUGGGCGGAAUUCGUGGUGUAGCGGUGAAAUGCUUAGAUAUCACGAAGAACUCCGAUUGCGAAGGCAGUUCACUGGACUGCAACUGACACUGAGGCUCGAAAGUGUGGGUAUCAAACAGGAUUAGAUACCCCUAGUAGUC
Molecule: ribosomal RNA, 461 nt
Filed under: uncultured bacterium
Lineage: Bacteria
Description: partial 16S ribosomal RNA
Rfam family: Bacterial small subunit ribosomal RNA
Source: RNAcentral